GUUCGACGAGGUGCUUUAUAAAUCAUCUCAGGACUUUCAACCCAGGCAUAUCGUCAGUUACCUUCUAACUUUAAGAUGGCGUCUCGCUCUGUUGUCCAGGCUGGAGCGUGAUCUCGGCUCACUGCAACCUCCACCUGCUGGAUUCAAGCGAUUCUCCUGCCUCAGCCUCCCUAGUAGCUGGGAUUACAGUCAUCUUGCAGCUGUGGCACACAAAACACUACAAAUAAAAGAUAGUCCUCCUGAAGUGGCUGGGGCCAGACUUCAUCUUUUCAAAGCUGUCCGUUCUGUCCUAGCCAAUGGAAUGAAACUUCUUGGAAUAACACCUGUAUGUAGGAUGUAAUUUCCA
Molecule: small RNA, 346 nt
Filed under: Pongo abelii (Sumatran orangutan)
Lineage: Eukaryota; Metazoa; Chordata; Mammalia; Primates; Hominidae
Description: processed transcript
Source: RNAcentral